GGGGCUGUUUGGCUUUGACAGCGGGUAGAAGAGGUUUGUAAGCAUGCAGUGCGCGGUCGGUCGGCACUUUAAUCCCGGCAGGCAAACAAGUAACUGGCAACAACAAUUACGCUCUUGCUGCGUAACCGAAGUAUAGUAGGUUAACGCUUAAUUCCGCCACCAGGUGGCGGAACAGGACAUCACCCGGAAGCUGUGGCUUCGAAGCGUUCCGAUCAGGUGGUGCAGGUAAAUCGGAGAUAGGUGGGGUGAGGCUUCGGCACCCUUCCGAAAAUUAAGAAGAUAAGGAUUGAGUAUGGUGGCUUCAGUCGCGCUCUUUCCCGACAACCCAAAUGAAGCUAAGCAUGUAGAAAGCA
RNAcentral lists this transfer-messenger RNA (353 nucleotides) under Proteiniphilum sp. RNAcentral describes it as "partial transfer-messenger RNA". It matches the Rfam family "transfer-messenger RNA", at positions 1 to 325 of the family's 374-position model. Rfam says of the family: Bacterial tmRNA, also known as 10Sa RNA or SsrA, is named for its dual tRNA and mRNA-like properties. Its role is to liberate the mRNA from a stalled ribosome. Lineage: Bacteria; Pseudomonadati; Bacteroidota; Bacteroidia; Bacteroidales; Dysgonomonadaceae. RNAcentral also lists the same sequence under 1 other name. The record is from RNAcentral.